This 78-nucleotide transfer RNA is filed under the name Candidatus Saccharimonadota bacterium. Its description in RNAcentral is "Candidatus Saccharibacteria bacterium tRNA-Met". It matches the Rfam family "tRNA". From Rfam's summary of the family: Transfer RNA (tRNA) molecules are approximately 80 nucleotides in length. Their secondary structure includes four short double-helical elements and three loops (D, anti-codon, and T loops). The record is from RNAcentral. Lineage: Bacteria; Candidatus Saccharimonadota.
CGCGGGGUGGAGCAGCCCGGUCAGCUCGUCUGGCUCAUAACCAGAAGGUCGCAGGUUCAAAUCCUGCCCCCGCAACCA